ACACAUGCAGUCGAGCGGUAACAGAUCCAGCUUGCUGGAUGCUGACGAGCGGCGGACGGGUGAGUAAUGCAUAGGAAUCUGCCCGAUAGUGGGGGAUAACCUGGGGAAACCCAGGCUAAUACCGCAUACGUCCUACGGGAGAAAGGGGGCUCCGGCUCCCGCUAUGGGAUGAGCCUAUGUCGGAUUAGCUAGUUGGUGAGGUAACGGCUCACCAAGGCCACGAUCCGUAGCUGGUCUGAGAGGAUGAUCAGCCACAUCGGGACUGAGACACGGCCCGAACUCCUACGGGAGGCAGCAGUGGGGAAUAUUGGACAAUGGGGGAAACCCUGAUCCAGCCAUGCCGCGUGUGUGAAGAAGGCCCUCGGGUUGUAAAGCACUUUCAGCGAGGAAGAACGCCUGGCGGUUAAUACCCGCUAGGAAAGACAUCACUCGCAGAAGAAGCACCGGCUAACUCCGUGCCAGCAGCCGCGGUAAUACGGAGGGUGCAAGCGUUAAUCGGAAUUACUGGGCGUAAAGCGCGCGUAGGUGGCUUGAUAAGCCGGUUGUGAAAGCCCCGGGCUCAACCUGGGAACGGCAUCCGGAACUGUCAAGCUAGAGUGCAGGAGAGGAAGGUAGAAUUCCCGGUGUAGCGGUGAAAUGCGUAGAGAUCGGGAGGAAUACCAGUGGCGAANGCGGCCUUCUGGACUGACACUGACACUGAGGUGCGAAAGCGUGGGUAGCAAACAGGAUUAGAUACCCUGGUAGUCCACGCCGUAAACGAUGUCGACCAGCCGUUGGGUGCCUAGCGCACUUUGUGGCGAAGUUAACGCGAUAAGUCGACCGCCUGGGGAGUACGGCCGCAAGGUUAAAACUC
This 853-nucleotide ribosomal RNA is filed under the name uncultured bacterium. RNAcentral describes it as "bacterial SSU rRNA". It matches the Rfam family "Bacterial small subunit ribosomal RNA", at positions 51 to 902 of the family's 1533-position model. The record is from RNAcentral.